UACGACCAUAUCACGUUGAAACAUCCGGCACCCGUGCGAUCACAGAAGUUAAGCAACGUUGAGCCUGGUUAGUUCGUUGAUGGAUGACUUUUUGGUAAUUCCAGGUUCUGUA
Molecule: non-coding RNA, 112 nt
Organism: Acanthosepion pharaonis
Lineage: Eukaryota; Metazoa; Mollusca; Cephalopoda; Sepiida; Sepiidae
Source: the annotation of a GenBank genome assembly